UCCGUAGGUGGAUAAUUAAGUCAGAGGUGAAAUCCUGCAGCUCAACUGUAGAAUUGCCUUUGAUACUGGUUAUCUUGAGUCAUUAUGAAGUGGUUAGAAUGUGUAGUGUAGCGGUGAAAUGCAUAGAUAUUACACAGAAUACCGAUUGCGAAGGCAGAUCACUAAUAAUGUACUGACACUGAGGGACGAAAGCGUGGGGAGCGAACAGGAUUAGAUACCCUGGUAGUCU
Molecule: ribosomal RNA, 229 nt
Filed under: uncultured bacterium
Lineage: Bacteria
Description: partial 16S ribosomal RNA
Rfam family: Bacterial small subunit ribosomal RNA
Source: RNAcentral